UGGGGAAUAUUGCACAAUGGAGGGAACUCUGAUGCAGCGACGCCGCGUGAGUGAUGAAGGACUUCGUUUCGUAAAACUCUGUUCUAUGGGAAGAAAAGGACUGUACCAUAGGAGAAAGCUCCGGCUAAAUACGUGCCAGCAGCCGCGGUAAUACGUAUGGAGCGAGCGUUGUCCGGAAUUAUUGGGCGUAAAGGGUGCGCAGGCGGCUUUACAAGUUGGAUGUGAAAUAUUGUGGCUCAACCACAAACGUGCAUCCAAAACUGCAAAGCUUGAGUUAAGGAGAGGUAAGUGGAAUUCCUGGUGUAGCGGUGGAAUGCGUAGAUAUCAGGAGGAAAACCGGUGGCGAGGGCGCCUUACUGGACUAAAACAGACGCUCAGGGACGAAAGCGUGGGGAGCAAACAGG
This 404-nucleotide ribosomal RNA is filed under the name Fusobacteriota bacterium. RNAcentral's name for it is "Fusobacteria bacterium partial 16S ribosomal RNA". It matches the Rfam family "Bacterial small subunit ribosomal RNA", at positions 355 to 776 of the family's 1533-position model. Lineage: Bacteria; Fusobacteriati; Fusobacteriota. The record is from RNAcentral.